GGUCAUCGAGAUCGUCCUCCUCCUCCCAAUCGAUCUCGAGCCGAUGGCAGCCCCCCUCCUCCCAGGCUGACGUCAACAUUCGAAGCCCGUCGCACCUCCUCCCGCGGCGGGCUUUCGUU
RNAcentral lists this small RNA (119 nucleotides) under Pseudorhizobium pelagicum. Its description in RNAcentral is "Alphaproteobacterial ar14". It matches the Rfam family "Alphaproteobacterial ar14". From Rfam's summary of the family: Smr14C2 was renamed NfeR1 (Nodule Formation Efficiency RNA) highly expressed in salt stress and during the symbiotic interaction on legume roots. Lineage: Bacteria; Pseudomonadati; Pseudomonadota; Alphaproteobacteria; Hyphomicrobiales; Rhizobiaceae. The record is from Rfam by way of RNAcentral.